Molecule: ribosomal RNA, 460 nt
Filed under: uncultured bacterium
Lineage: Bacteria
Description: partial 16S ribosomal RNA
Rfam family: Bacterial small subunit ribosomal RNA
Source: RNAcentral
CCUACGGGAGGCUGCAGUGAGGAAUAUUGGUCAAUGGACGCAAGUCUGAACCAGCCAUGCCGCGUGCAGGAAGACGGUUCUAUGAGUUGUAAACUGCUUUUGUACGAGGGUAAACGCAGAUACGUGUAUCUGUCUGAAAGUAUCGUACGAAUAAGGAUCGGCUAACUCCGUGCCAGCAGCCGCGGUAAUACGGAGGAUUCAAGCGUUAUCCGGAUUUAUUGGGUUUAAAGGGUGCGUAGGCGGUCGGUUAAGUUAGAGGUGAAAUCCCGAGGCUCAACUUCGGAAUUGCCUCUGAUACUGUUAGGCUAGAGAGUAGUUGCGGUAGGCGGAAUGUAUGGUGUAGCGGUGAAAUGCUUAGAGAUCAUACAGAACACCGAUUGCGAAGGCAGCUUACCAAGCUACGUCUGACGUUGAGGCACGAAAGCGUGGGGAGCAAACAGGAUUAGAUACCCCAGUAGUC